RNAcentral lists this ribosomal RNA (658 nucleotides) under Otostegia fruticosa subsp. schimperi. RNAcentral's name for it is "eukaryotic LSU rRNA". The stretch from base 253 to 408 matches the Rfam family "5.8S ribosomal RNA". Lineage: Eukaryota; Viridiplantae; Streptophyta; Magnoliopsida; Lamiales; Lamiaceae. The record is from RNAcentral.
CCUGCGGAAGGAUCAUUGUCGAAACCUGCAAAGCAGACCGCGAACACGUUCAGAACAACUGAGGCACCGCGGAGGGGGGGAGACCCCUCGAAACGGUGCCCACCCGCCCAUCUGGCCGUUCUCGGUCCGCCCUGCUGGCUACCCAACCCGGGUGAACAAUGCGCCAAGGAAAAUACAACGGACCGUUUCCCUCCCCUGCGAAUCCCAUUACCGGGGGGAGGGGGAGCGAGGAGGCCCAUCGAAUGUCUAAACGACUCUCGCCAAAGGAUACCUCGGCUCUCACAUCGAUGAAAAACGUAGGAAAAUGCGAUACUUGGUGUGAAUUGCAGAAUCCCGUGAACCAUCGAGUCUUUGAACGCAAGUUGCGCCCGAAGCCAGUAGGCCGAGGGCACGUCUGCCUGGGCAUCACGCAUCGCGUCGCCCCCUUCCCCCUGGGGGUGGGGCGAAUUUGGCCCCCCUUGCGUUCCCCUCCGGGGCCGGCCCAAUUGUUCUUCCCCCUUCGGGGCACGUCGCAACCAUUGUUGGUUGAAUUCUCACUUCGCUGGCUGUCCAUUCACGUUUCGCCAAGGGUCCGAAAAUAAAAACCCAAGGGUGCAACACCAAUUCUGGCCACCAACGGGACCCCAGGUCAGGCGGAUCACCGCUGAGUUAACAUAUC